CCUACGGGUGGCAGCAGUGGGGGAUAUUGGACAAUGGGGGAAACCCUGAUCCAGCGACGCCGCGUGAGUGAAGAAGUAUUUCUGUAUGUAAAGCUCUAUCAGCAGGGAAGAAAGACAUGACGGUACCUGAGUACGAAGCCCCGGCUAACUACGUGCCAGCAGCCGCGGUAAUACGUAGGGGGCAAGCGUUAUCCGGAAUUACUGGGGUUACAGGGAGCGUAGACGGUAAUGCAAGUCUGGAGUGAAAGGCGGGGGGCCCCCCCCCGGAUUGCCCUGGAAACUGGGUAACUGGAGUGCAGGAGAGGCAGGCGGAAUGCCUAGUGUAGCGGUGAAAUGCGUAGAUAUUAGGAGGAACACCAGUGGCGAAGGCGGCCUGCUGGACUGUAACUGACGUUGAGGCUCGAAAGCGUGGGGAGCAAACAGGAUUAGAUACCCCGGUAGUC
This 443-nucleotide ribosomal RNA is filed under the name uncultured bacterium. RNAcentral's name for it is "partial 16S ribosomal RNA". It matches the Rfam family "Bacterial small subunit ribosomal RNA", at positions 338 to 795 of the family's 1533-position model. The record is from RNAcentral.